AAUAGAUACCCUGGUAGUCCACGCCGUAAACGAUGAGUGCUAAGUGUUAGAGGGCUUCCACCCUUUAGUGCUGCAGCUAACGCAUUAAGCACUCCGCCUGGGGAGUACGGCCGCAAGGCUGAAACUCAAAGGAAUUGACGGGGGCCCGCACAAGCGGUGGAGCAUGUGGUUUAAUUCGAAGCAACGCGAAGAACCUUACCAGGUCUUGACAUCCUUCGCUACCUCUAGAGAUAGAGGGUUCCCCUUCGGGGGACGGAGUGACAGGUGGUGCAUGGUUGUCGUCAGCUCGUGUCGUGAGAUGUUGGGUUAAGUCCCGCAACGAGCGCAACCCUUGACCUUAGUUGCCAGCAUUCAGUUGGGCACUCUAAGGUGACUGCCGGUGACAAACCGGAGGAAGGUGGGGAUGACGUCAAAUCAUCAUGCCCCUUAUGACCUGGGCUACACACGUGCUACAAUGGAUGGUACAAAGGGUCGCGAAACCGCGAGGUGGAGCUAAUCCCAAAAACCAUUCUCAGUUCGGAUUGCAGG
This 528-nucleotide ribosomal RNA is filed under the name uncultured bacterium. Its description in RNAcentral is "bacterial SSU rRNA". It matches the Rfam family "Bacterial small subunit ribosomal RNA", at positions 777 to 1304 of the family's 1533-position model. The record is from RNAcentral.